Molecule: RNA transcript, 1823 nt
Organism: Cucumis melo (muskmelon)
Lineage: Eukaryota; Viridiplantae; Streptophyta; Magnoliopsida; Cucurbitales; Cucurbitaceae
Gene name: flap endonuclease 1
Exons: 18
Source: RefSeq, a predicted model, not a curated record
ACCCAAACAUCCACCGAAAGUUUUACCACAACUAUGAGAAAACGGGCGUUGUGAAUUGCGAUACUGCAGUGAGCUAUUAGAUUAGAUUUGAGAUCCACGUUCACACCCACGCUACAUGCAUACCAACUCUACAAAUUAGCCUCACGUCAAGAGAGAAAAAAAAAAAGAAAAACGCUACAAAUUAGCCUUCAACUCAACUCCUUCUUCCCGCCUCUCUCAUUUGGUGUAGUUCUAAAGCGGUCCCGUCUGCGCUACUGCUACUGCUUCUGCUCCCUUCCCACUUCAACACACAAUGGGCAUCAAGGGUUUAACCAAGCUUUUAGCUGAUAAUGCGCCCAAGGGCAUGAAGGAGCAGAAGUUCGAAACCUAUUUCGGCCGCAAAAUCGCUAUUGAUGCUAGCAUGAGUAUUUAUCAAUUUCUUAUUGUUGUGGGUAGAAGUGGGACUGAGAUGCUCACCAACGAAGCUGGUGAAGUCACUAGUCAUUUGCAAGGGAUGUUUAACCGAACAAUAAGGCUUCUCGAAGCUGGAAUUAAGCCAGUCUAUGUCUUUGAUGGAAAGCCUCCUGAUUUGAAAAAACAAGAACUUGCAAAACGCUAUUCAAAGAGAGCAGAUGCUACUGAGGACCUAGCAGAUGCAAUCGAGGUUGGCAACAAGGAGGAUAUUGAGAAAUUCAGUAAAAGGACAGUAAAGGUUACAAAGCAGCACAAUGAUGACUGCAAAAGACUUUUGAGACUCAUGGGAGUGCCUGUGAUUGAGCAGGCUCCCUCGGAAGCUGAGGCACAAUGUGCUGCACUUUGCAAGUUAGGAAAGGUUUAUGCCGUGGCAUCAGAAGACAUGGAUUCACUAACAUUUGGAUCUCCCAGAUUUCUUCGUCAUUUAAUGGAUCCCAGCUCAAGGAAGAUCCCAGUUAUGGAAUUUGAAGUGGCAAAGAUUUUGGAAGAGCUGAACCUCACCAUGGAUCAAUUUAUCGAUUUGUGCAUUCUUUCUGGAUGUGAUUAUUGUGACAAUAUCCGAGGUAUAGGGGGGCUGACUGCUCUAAAGCUUAUACGUCAACAUGGGGCUAUAGAGGGUAUAUUAGAGAACAUAAAUAAAGAGAGGUACCAAAUUCCUGACGAUUGGCCUUACAAAGAGGCUCGACAGCUUUUCAAAGAACCACUAGUAUGUACUGACGAAGAGCAACUUGACAUUAAGUGGACUACACCAGACGAAGAAGGCUUGUUAACAUUUUUGGUGAAUGAGAAUGGGUUCAACAGUGAGAGAGUGACAAAGGCAGUAGAAAAAAUUAAAGCAGCCAAGAACAAGUCAUCACAGGGCCGGAUGGAGUCCUUUUUCAAGCCUGUUACUAAUCCUUCAGUAUCCAUUAAACGAAAGGUGCUCUACUAGUUUUUAUCAACAUGAUAGAGAGUUAGUGCAAGAAACAAUGCAAGAGACAUGAUAUGCAACAUGCUAAUCAGUCGAUCGUUUUACUGCACAAUUGUCAUAUCCACUUCAAAUUUAGUUUCAGGAGACAUCAGAAAAGCCCACCAAACAAGCAAUAAUGAAGAAAUCGAAGUCCGGUGGUAGUAAAAGAAAGUAGACGAGUUGGUUGCAUCACCAUUCUCAAAUUAGUAUAUGACUUGAUGUUUUUAGUAAGGUUUGUUUAUAAGUUUUCGUCGGCUGUAAUUUUUUGAGUUGCAGAUUAUGAAACUAUAAUUUUCUUGUAUUUAUAUGACAUCGGUGUGCAAGUUUAGGAGGUAGAUGUUGAGUAUUUGCGGACAAGCCUUAGGUAACUACAAUCUAUCAUUACGUCCUCCCUUAGUAAUCAAUAUUGUGUUCCUGUUCA